RNAcentral lists this long non-coding RNA (513 nucleotides) under Helianthus annuus (common sunflower). RNAcentral describes it as "sRNA HanXRQr2_Chr04g0154581". The record is from RNAcentral. Lineage: Eukaryota; Viridiplantae; Streptophyta; Magnoliopsida; Asterales; Asteraceae.
UUUGGGAUUAGAUUUCUGGAGUUGGAACGGCGUUCAAAUUCAAUUCGUACACCAAGUUAUCACCUGAUUACUACUAAACACACACAGCACUAAACGUUGCCGCGAAACAGGGUAUUAACUCGAUCGCUGCUACGAUUCAAUAUCCGAUCGAUUGAAACUAUCCAACCGGAUGUUUAAGUAUUAUCCUUUGUCAUUAGUCGUGAUUCCGACAGGAUGUUUGAGUACCACCCGAACUCGGGGAAUACUCUGUCAUUCGUUGUGAAUCCGAUGGAUGUUUAAGUGAUUGCACUUUGUUUGUGAAGGUUUUAAUCUCGUGAGUUAUCGUAAAUGUUGUAUUAGUUACUUACCUAGUUCGUGUGCACUAGGUUACAAGGCUAACCAGUAGGCUAAUCUCUGCCUGUAUAAAUCUGCAAUAUAUCAAGGCUUAUCUGUAGAUUAAACUUUGGCCGUAUGAAUCUGCAUGCUUAUAAUGUAAUUACAGUAGAUUGGAGUAAGAGUUGGAUGCGGCACUGA